GCAUUGAUGGUUCAAUAGUAGGAUUCUCAUCUUCCAUGUAGGAGACCCAGGUUUGAUUCCUGGACAACGUA
This 71-nucleotide transfer RNA is filed under the name Loxodonta africana (African savanna elephant). It matches the Rfam family "tRNA". From Rfam's summary of the family: Transfer RNA (tRNA) molecules are approximately 80 nucleotides in length. Their secondary structure includes four short double-helical elements and three loops (D, anti-codon, and T loops). The record is from Rfam by way of RNAcentral. Lineage: Eukaryota; Metazoa; Chordata; Mammalia; Proboscidea; Elephantidae.